GGGGAAUAUUGGACAUUGGGCGAAAGCCUGAUCCGCCCAUGCCGCGUGUUUAAAGAGGUCCUUCGGAUGUUAAAGCCUUUUAAUUUGGGGGGAAGGUUUUUAGAUUAUUACUUUGCAUUUUUACCUUUCCCGACAGAAUAAUCCCCGGCUACCUUCGUGCCACAGCCGCGGUAAUACGAAGGGUGCAACGUUAAUCGGAAUUACUGGGCGUAAAGCGCGCGUAGGUGGUUCGUUAAGUUGGAUGUGAAAGCCCCGGGCUCAACCUGGGAACUGCAUCCAAAACUGGCGAGCUAGAGUACGGUAGAGGGUGGUGGAAUUUCCUGUGUAGCGGUGAAAUGCGUAGAUAUAGGAAGGAACACCAGUGGCGAAGGCGACCACCUGGACUGAUACUGACACUGAGGUGCGAAAGCGUGGGGAGCAAACA
RNAcentral lists this ribosomal RNA (424 nucleotides) under uncultured Pseudomonadaceae bacterium. RNAcentral describes it as "bacterial SSU rRNA". It matches the Rfam family "Bacterial small subunit ribosomal RNA", at positions 356 to 774 of the family's 1533-position model. The record is from RNAcentral. Lineage: Bacteria; Pseudomonadati; Pseudomonadota; Gammaproteobacteria; Pseudomonadales; Pseudomonadaceae.